Molecule: long non-coding RNA, 656 nt
Organism: Diachasmimorpha longicaudata
Lineage: Eukaryota; Metazoa; Arthropoda; Insecta; Hymenoptera; Braconidae
Exons: 3
Source: RefSeq, a predicted model, not a curated record
CACCAGUCCACUGAGUAGAUAAUGAUAAGUUCUCUUUCCAAGUGCAAUAUCUCUCACAUGACUGACCACGAUGUCCUUUGCCAUGUCAGUUGGACAGUCUAGCACAACGUAUUUGGAGCUCCACCUUUGAACAAUGAAAAGUCACUCUUAAUUAUCUUGUGGACGAGUUGGUCAUUCUGGAUUAACGAUGGAACCGAGGAUUGGUCAAUAAAUGGAGAGAUAGAGACAGACACUCGACUGGAUAAUUCAUAAGGCUGACUUGAUGUCAGACCAGAGCCAAUUGCGAAAUGAGUACAUCAGCCUGAUAGCAGCUGGGGAGAUCCUGAGCAAGGCCGCACGGCAGGUCCGCAACGGAUAACCCUAAUGAGGCCCUGAUCUACCAAAGUGUAACAGUCCUGAUGCGGAAGGGUAUGGCGAGGCUUUGAUAAAUUAAUGUAGGUCCGACUUUUUAAAUCAGGUAAUCUUUUCUAUGCUUGAUAAGACCCUUUCAUGAGUGUCAAGUCGGGUAGAUGUGGGCCUGACUUCUCACACUGGAUAACCUUAUCCGGACCUGAUAAGACCCUUUUACGAUUGUCUACUUGGGUAGAUGUCGGUCUGUCUUUCCAAACCAGGUGUUGGAUUUUUCAUGAAAUAAAUAAAUAGAAAGCAAAAAUCAA